CCUAACCACAAAAACAACUCCUGCAAUUGGCACCGCUUCUGUCACCACAGCAACCAGCGCUUCUAGAAAGGCUAACGCAUCGGUUUGGGACUCACAGCCAAAUGAAGAUUUCCGCAGCUCGGUGUGCUUCUCCCUCAUCCCCGACCCCUCCUCUGGGACCGUCCAGAGCAGAGCCCCGAGCGGCUGGAUGACUACAGAACCAAGCAGGCCCACAGCUGCUGGCUUCCGUCCAACGCGUGGCUGCACACCAAGGCCCCAAAUGCUGAGACAGGUCCUCCAUCAACAUUUCCUGAAUUGAACUGUGAGCCUCAUACCAACGGAGCAUUAGCAGUAGACCAAGAGCUUGUGCAUCUAAGACAGCUCAUCCAUCCACAGCUCUCGGCGCUUCUGCCCACAGUCUGCGCUUGAUAAACACCAGCUGAAGGAACAACCUCACAGACACCAUUUCCUGACCUCUGGACGUGACCGUCAGCCCCCGCAGCACAAGGCCCACCAUCUCCUGCUUCUCUGGGGCCUGCCUGGGCCUCGCACACACCGUACUGCACACAGCAGGUCCUCACUAAAGACUCAUCAUGGGCCUCCGCACGCUGCAUGCGCAAGUUAAAAGAAUAAGAUAUCCGUUUAUUUUCCUCCAGCAGAGCAGAAGAGAGAUUUAAAUAUUUGAUACCUGGUAUCGGAGAGAAUAAAGGGAAGCAAAC
This 698-nucleotide long non-coding RNA is filed under the name Cervus hanglu yarkandensis (Yarkand deer). Its description in RNAcentral is "lncRNA (ENSCHYG00000018800.1)". Lineage: Eukaryota; Metazoa; Chordata; Mammalia; Artiodactyla; Cervidae. The record is from RNAcentral.